GCUGAAAUAGCUCAGUUGGGAGAGCGUUAGAGUGAAGAUCUAAAGGUCCCUGGUUCAUAACGGGUUUCGGCA
Molecule: transfer RNA, 72 nt
Filed under: Salmo salar (Atlantic salmon)
Lineage: Eukaryota; Metazoa; Chordata; Actinopteri; Salmoniformes; Salmonidae
Rfam family: tRNA
About the family: Transfer RNA (tRNA) molecules are approximately 80 nucleotides in length.
Source: Rfam by way of RNAcentral